GACGAACGCUGGCGGCGUGCUUAACACAUGCAAGUCGAGCGGUAAGGCCCUUUUGGGGGUACACGAGCGGCGAGCGGGUGAGUAACACGUGGGUGACCUGCCCUCAGCUCUGGGAUAAGCCUGGGAAACUGGGUCUAAUACUGGAUAUGACCUUUCCUCGCAUGGGGUUGGGUGGAAAGUUUUUCGGCUGGGGAGUGGGCCCGCGGCCUAUCAGCUUGUUGGUGGGGUGAUGGCCUACCAAAGCGACGACGGGUAGCCGGCCUGAGAGGGCGACCGGCCACACUGGGACUGAGACACGGCCCAGACUCCUACGGGAGGCAGCAGUGGGGAAUAUUGCGCAAUGGGCGGAAGCCUGACGCAGCGACGCCGCGUGGGGAUGACGGCC
Molecule: ribosomal RNA, 385 nt
Filed under: uncultured bacterium
Lineage: Bacteria
Description: bacterial SSU rRNA
Rfam family: Bacterial small subunit ribosomal RNA
Source: RNAcentral